AGCGAACGCUGGCGGCGUGGCUUAGGCAUGCAAGUCGAGCGAGAAAGCCCGCAAGGGUGAGUAAAGCGGCGAAAGGGUGAGUAAUAUAUAGGCAAUCUGCGCUUCGGACCGGGAUAAUUCCUGGAAACGGGUUGUAAUACCGGAUGGCCCAGCGAGGACGCAUGUCCAUGCUGGUAAAUGGUAGCUUUGCUUCUGCCGAGGAAGGAGCCUAUAUCCCAUUAGCUAGUUGGUAGGGUAACGGCCUACCAAGGCUUUGAUGGGUAGCCGGACUGAGAGGUUGGCCGGUCACACUGGGACUGAGAUACUGCCCAGACUCCUACGGGAGGCUGCAGUCGAGAAUCUUCCGCAAUGGGCGCAAGCCUGACGGGGCGACGCCGCGUGAACGAUGAAGGCCUUCGGGUUGUAAAGUUCUGUCACGGGGGAAGAACAACUACGGGUUAACAGCCCUGUAGUCUGACGUUACCCCGGAAGGAAGCCAUGGCUAACUCCGUGCCAGCAGCCGCGGUAAUACGGAGAUGGCAAGCGUUGCUCGGAUUUACUGGGCAUAAAGCGCACGUAGGCGGGCCUACAAGUCGGUUGUGAAAUCCUGGGGCUUAACCCCAGAACUGCGGCCGAUACUAUGGGCCUUGAGGGUGAGAGGGGAGAGUGGAACUUCUGGUGGAGCGGUGAAAUGCGUAGAUAUCAGAAGGAACACCGGUGGCGAAAGCGACUCUCUGGUUCACUACUGACGCUGAGGUGCGAAAGCUAGGGGAGCAAACGGGAUUAGAUACCCCGGUAGUCCUAGCCGUAAACGAUGGGCACUAAGUAGGGGAGGUUCUGACACCUUCUCUACCGGAGCUAAUGUAUUAAGUGCCCCGCCUGGGGAGUAUGAUCGCAAGGUUAAAACUCAAAGGAAUUGACGGGGGCUCACACAAGCGGUGGAGCAUGUGGUUCAAUUCGAAGCAACGCGCAGAACCUUACCUGGGCUUGACAUGCUUAGUGUAGUCUGAUGAAAGUCGGAUGAACCGGGUAACCGGAAACUUUGCACAGGUGCUGCAUGGCUGUCGUCAGCUCGUGUCGUGAGAUGUCGGGUUAAGUCCCUUAACGAGCGAAACCCUUGCCGCUAGUUACCAACAGGUCAUGCUGGGGACUCUAGCGGGACUGCCGUGGUUAACACGGAGGAAGGCGGGGAUGACGUCAAGUCCUCAUGGCCCUUACGCCCAGGGCUACACACGUGCUACAAUGGUCGGUACAAAGGGACGCAAAGCGGUAACGUGAAGCAAAUCCCAUAAAGCCGACCCCAGUACAGAUUGAGGGCUGCAAUUCGCCCUCAUGAAGCCGGAAUCGCUAGUAAUCGCGGGUCAGCCAUACCGCGGUGAAUAUGUUCCUGAGCCUUGUACACACCGCCCGUCAAGCCAUGGGAGCUGGUAGUACCCGAAGUCGCUGACCCAACCGCAAGGAGGGAGGCGCCGACGGUAAGACCGGUGACUAGGACU
RNAcentral lists this ribosomal RNA (1475 nucleotides) under uncultured bacterium. RNAcentral describes it as "bacterial SSU rRNA". It matches the Rfam family "Bacterial small subunit ribosomal RNA". The record is from RNAcentral.